UACGUAGGGUGCAAGCGUUAAUCGGAAUUACUGGGCGUAAAGCGUGCGCAGGCGGUUUUGUAAGUUUGUCGUGAAAGCCCCGGGCUCAACCUGGGAAUGGCGAUGAAGACUGCAAGGCUUGAAUCUGGCAGAGGGGGGUAGAAUUCCACGUGUAGCAGUGAAAUGCGUAGAGAUGUGGAGGAACGCCGAUGGCGAAGGCAGCCCCCUGGGCCAAGAUUGACGCUCAUGCACGAAAGCGUGGGGAGCAAACAGG
This 253-nucleotide ribosomal RNA is filed under the name uncultured bacterium. RNAcentral's name for it is "partial 16S ribosomal RNA". It matches the Rfam family "Bacterial small subunit ribosomal RNA", at positions 524 to 776 of the family's 1533-position model. The record is from RNAcentral.